CUAGCCGUAAACGAUGGAUACUAGGCGUUGAGAGGAUCGACCCUCGCAGUGCCGUAGCUAACGCGUUAAGUAUCCCGCCUGGGGAGUACGCGCGCAAGCGUGAAACUCAAAGGAAUUGACGGGGGCCCGCACAAGCGGUGGAGUAUGUGGUUUAAUUCGAUGCAACGCGAAGAACCUUACCAGGGCUUGACAUGUCCGGAACCCUGCCCAAAGGUGGGGGUGCCUACGGGAGCCGGAAUACAGGUGGUGC
This 250-nucleotide ribosomal RNA is filed under the name uncultured Chroococcidiopsis sp. RNAcentral's name for it is "partial 16S ribosomal RNA". It matches the Rfam family "Bacterial small subunit ribosomal RNA", at positions 796 to 1044 of the family's 1533-position model. The record is from RNAcentral. Lineage: Bacteria; Bacillati; Cyanobacteriota; Cyanophyceae; Chroococcidiopsidales; Chroococcidiopsidaceae.